This 774-nucleotide ribosomal RNA is filed under the name uncultured Shigella sp. RNAcentral's name for it is "partial 16S ribosomal RNA". It matches the Rfam family "Bacterial small subunit ribosomal RNA", at positions 49 to 813 of the family's 1533-position model. Lineage: Bacteria; Pseudomonadati; Pseudomonadota; Gammaproteobacteria; Enterobacterales; Enterobacteriaceae. The record is from RNAcentral.
CUACACAUGCNAGUCGAACGGUAACAGGAAACAAGCUUGCUKCUUYGCUGACGAGUGGCGGACGGGUGAGUGAUGUCUGGGAAACUGCCUGAUGGAGGGGGAUAACUACUGGAAACGGUAGCUAAUACCGCAUAACGUCGCAAGACCAAAGAGGGGGACCYUCGGGCCUCUUGCCAUCGGAUGUGCCCAGAUGGGAUUAGCUUGUUGGUGGGGUAACGGCUCACCUAGGCGACGAUCCCUAGCUGGUCUGAGAGGAUGACCAGCCACACUGGAACUGAGACACGGUCCAGACUCCUACGGGAGGCAGCAGUGGGGAAUAUUGCACAAUGGGCGCAAGCCUGAUGCAGCCAUGCCGCGUGUAUGAAGAAGGCCUUCGGGUUGUAAAGUACUUUCAGCGGGGAGGAAGGGAGUAAAGUUAAUACCUUUGCUCAUUGANCGUNNCNNCGCAGAAGAAGCACCGGCUAACUCCGUGCCAGCAGCCGCGGUAAUACGGAGGGUGCAAGCGUUAAUCGGAAUUACUGGGCGUAAAGCGCACGCAGGCGGNUUGNUAAGUCAGANGUGAAAUCCCCGGGCUCNACCUGGGAACUGCAUCUGAUACUGGCAAGCUUGANUCUCGUANANGGGGGUAGAAUUCCAGUGUAGCGGUGAAAUGCGUANAGAUCUGGANGAAUACCGGUGGCGAANGCNGCCCCCUGGACNAANACUGACGCUCNGUGCGAAAGCGUGGGGAGCAACAGGAUUANAUACCCUGGUAGUCCACGCCGUAACGAUGUC